AUACGUAGGGGGCGAGCGUUGUCCGGAGUUACUGGGCGUAAAGGGCGCGCAGGCGGCCAUUCAAGUCAUGGGUGAAAUACCGGGGCUUAACCUCGGGGGUGCCUGUGAAACUGGGUGGCUUGAGGGCCUGAGAGGACAGUGGAAUUCCCGGUGUAGCGGUGAUAUGCGUAGAGAUCGGGAGGAACACCAGUGGCGAAGGCGACUGUCUGGACGGUACCUGACGCUCAGGCGCGAAAGCCCGGGGAGCAAACGGGAUUAGAUACCCCGGUAGUCCGGGCCGUAAACGAUGAGUGCUAGGUGUGGCGGGUAUCGACCCCCGCCGUGCCGGAGUUAACGCAAUAAGCACUCCGCCUGGGGAGUACGGCCGCAAGGCUGAA
RNAcentral lists this ribosomal RNA (377 nucleotides) under uncultured bacterium. RNAcentral's name for it is "bacterial SSU rRNA". It matches the Rfam family "Bacterial small subunit ribosomal RNA", at positions 523 to 898 of the family's 1533-position model. The record is from RNAcentral.